GGUUUCGUAGGUGACUGCGGAGGAUCAUUACCGAGUGAGGGCCCUCUGGGUCCACCUCCCACCCGUGUUUAUUUACCUUGUUGCUUCGGCGAGCCUGCCUUUUGGCUGCCGGGGGACGUCAGUCCCCGGGUCCGUGCUCGCCGGAGACACCUUAGAACUCUGUCUGAAGAUUGUAGUCUGAGAUUAAAUAUAAAUUAUUUAAAACUUUCAACAACGGAUCUCUUGGUUCCGGCAUCGAUGAAGAACGCAGCGAAAUGCGAUACGUAAUGUGAAUUGCAGAAUUCAGUGAAUCAUCGAGUCUUUGAACGCACAUUGCGCCCUCUGGUAUUCCGGAGGGCAUGCCUGUCCGAGCGUCAUUGCUGCCCUCAAGCACGGCUUGUGUGUUGGGCCCCGUCCUCCUUCCGGGGGACGGGUCCGAAAGGCAGCGGCGGCACCGCGUCCGGUCCUCAAGCGUAUGGGGCUUUGUCACUCGCUUUGUAGGCCUGGCCGGCGCUUGCCGAUCAACCAAACUUUUUAUCAGGUUGACCUCGGAUCAGGUAGGGAUACCCGCUGAACUUAAGCAUAUCAAUAAGCGGAGGAAAAGAAACCAACAGGGAUUACCUCAGUAACGGCGAGUGAAGCGGUAAGAGCUCAAAUUUGAAAGCUGGCUCCUUCGGGGUCCGCAUUGUAAUUUGCAGAGGAUGCUUCGGGAGCGGUCCCCAUCUAAGUGCCCUGGAACGGGACGUCAUAGAGGGUGAGAAUCCCGUAUGGGAUGGGGUGUCCGCGCCCGUGUGAAGCUCCUUCGACGAGUCGAGUUGUUUGGGAAUGCAGCUCUAAAUGGGUGGUAAAUUUCAUCUAAAGCUAAAUAUUGGCCGGAGACCGAUAGCGCACAAGUAGAGUGAUCGAAAGAUGAAAAGCACUUUGAAAAGAGAGUUAAAAAGCACGUGAAAUUGUUGAAAGGGAAGCGCUUGCGACCAGACUCGCUCGCGGGGUUCAGCCGGCAUUCGUGCCGGUGUACUUCCCCGCGAGCGGGCCAACGUCGGUUUGGGC
RNAcentral lists this ribosomal RNA (1029 nucleotides) under Penicillium biourgeianum. RNAcentral's name for it is "eukaryotic LSU rRNA". The stretch from base 523 to 1029 matches the Rfam family "Eukaryotic large subunit ribosomal RNA", at positions 1 to 512 of the family's 3401-position model. The record is from RNAcentral. Lineage: Eukaryota; Fungi; Ascomycota; Eurotiomycetes; Eurotiales; Aspergillaceae.